This 465-nucleotide ribosomal RNA is filed under the name uncultured bacterium. Its description in RNAcentral is "partial 16S ribosomal RNA". It matches the Rfam family "Bacterial small subunit ribosomal RNA", at positions 28 to 507 of the family's 1533-position model. The record is from RNAcentral.
GACGAACGCUGGCGGCGUGCUUAACACAUGCAAGUCGUACGGUAAGGCCCUUUCGGGGGUACACGAGUGGCGAACGGGUGCGUAACACGUGAGUAACCUGCCCACAACUUUGGGAUAACGCUAGGAAACUGGUGCUAAUACUGGUUAUGUGCUCCUGCUGCAUGGUGGGGGUUGGAAAGCUCCGGCGGUUGUGGAUGGACUCGCGGCCUAUCAGCUUGUUGGUGGGGUAGUGGCCUACCAAGGCGGCGACGGGUAGCCGGCCUGAGAGGGUGACCGGCCACAUUGGGACUGAGAUACGGCCCAGACUCCUACGGGAGGCAGCAGUGGGGAAUAUUGCACAAUGGGCGCAAGCCUGAUGCAGCAACGCCGCGUGCGGGAUGACGGCCUUCGGGUUGAAAACCGCUUUCAGCAGGGACGAAGCUUUUUGUGACGGUACCUGCAGAAGAAGCACCGGCUAACUACGUG